This is an RNA transcript of Suricata suricatta (meerkat), 1679 nucleotides long. It is a transcript of the gene named WW domain containing oxidoreductase, with no coding region annotated. NCBI's taxonomy places the organism in Eukaryota, Metazoa, Chordata, Mammalia, Carnivora, Herpestidae. The record is from RefSeq and is a predicted model, not a curated record. The transcript has 10 exons.
GCGCCUCUGGGCGGCGCGAUGCGCAGGCGCGAGCGUUUGGGUCUCGCCGCGCGCGGCGCUCGGUUGUAGCGAGAGUGAGUUCCUGGGUGCCGAGACCCGGCAGCGGGAGCCGGAGCGGGUGGGUGAUCGAGCGUUUCUCCUGCCGCCAUGGCAGCCCUGCGCUACGCGGGACUGGACGACACGGACAGCGAGGACGAGCUGCCCCCGGGCUGGGAGCAGAGAACCACCAAGGACGGCUGGGUUUACUAUGCCAAUCACUCUGAAGAGAAGACCCAGUGGGAGCACCCGAAAACUGGAAAAAGGAAACGGAUAGCGGGAGAUUUGCCGUAUGGAUGGGAACAAGAAACCGAUGAGAACGGACAAGUAUUUUUUGUCGACCAUAUAAAUAAAAGAACCACCUAUUUGGACCCGAGACUGGCAUUUACCGUGGACGACAAUCCUACAAAGCCAACCAGCAGACAGAGAUACGACGGGAGCACCACCGCCAUGGAGAUUCUCCAGGGCCGGGAUUUCACCGGCAAAGUGGUCGUGGUGACCGGGGCCAAUGCAGGCAUAGGGUUUGAAACUGCCAAGUCUUUUGCCCUCCAUGGUGCACACGUGAUCCUCGCCUGCAGGAGCAUGACAAGGGCCAAUGAAGCUGUGUCACGCAUUUUAGGAGAAUGGCACAAAGCCAAGGUAGAAGCAAUGACCCUGGACCUCGCUGUGCUCCGUAGCGUGCAGCAUUUUGCUCAAGCGUUCAAGGCCAAGAAUGUAUCCCUUCACAUGCUUAUAUGCAACGCGGGGGUAUUUGCUCUCCCCUGGAGCCUCACCAAAGACGGCCUGGAGACCACCUUCCAGGUGAAUCACCUGGGACACUUCUACCUUGUCCAGCUCCUUCAGGAUGUCUUGUGCCGCUCAGCUCCUGCCCGAGUCGUCGUGGUCUCCUCGGAGUCCCAUAGAUUCACAGAUAUUAACGAUUCCUCGGGCAAACUGGACCUCAGCCGCCUCUCUCCAUCUAAAAAUGACUACUGGGCCAUGCUGGCCUACAACCGAUCUAAGCUCUGCAACAUUCUCUUCUCCAACCAGCUCCAUCGCCGCCUGUCCCCACGCGGGGUGACGUCCAACGCCGUGCACCCUGGAAACCUGUUGUAUUCCUCCCUUCAUCGCAACUGGUGGGUGUACACGCUGCUGUUUACGUUGGGCAGGCCUUUCACCAAGUCCAUGACUGGAUUCUCAGGUGCCUCCCCACUCUGUCUUCACUAAGGCCUCUGGAUCCUGCAAGGAAACUGCAGCAGAGAGACCAUUGCUUAGUGCGGGCUUCUGGUAAUGGCAUAAAGGUGGUUUCCAGCCAGUCUGGAUGCGUGGACGAAUAAACUUCUGCCCUGAAGUCCCUGAAUUAUUUAAGCACUGCCGGUGAUUCAGUAGAACCGUACAGUAGAACAUUUGCAUAUGCAUACACUUCAAGAGCAUCCGUCAGCCUACCCAGUACGUGGGUAUUUUCAGAUAGCGCAGGUGCCCAAAGCCUUUGUGCCCAGGCGUCUGCAGGCACCAUCCAUUUGUAAAACCAGGCCCCAAUCUACAUGCCCAACGCCAUUCCUAGACCCCCUUUGAUAAUCCUCACUGAGCAGACCCACUCGAUACAUCUUCGCUAAUGGCUUCUGACUUCAUAAAAUGUAUUAAUGACUUCUUUUUGAAAGUAA